CCUACGGGUGGCAGCAGUGAGGAAUAUUGGUCAAUGGCCGGAAGGCUGAACCAGCCAAGCCGCGUGCAGGACGAAGGUGCCAAGCAUUGUAAACUUCUUUUGUCAAGGGACAAAAUCAGGCUCGAGAGCCUGACCGAGGGUACUUGAAGAAAAAGCAUCGGCUAACUCCGUGCCAGCAGCCGCGGUAAUACGGGGGAUGCGAGCGUUAUCCGGAUUUAUGGGGUUUAAAGGGUGCGUCGGCGGGCUGUUAAGUCAGCGGUAAAAGCCCGGGGCUCAACCCCGGCGAGCCGUUGAAACUGGCUGUAUUGAGAUGUCGAGAGGUAUGCGGAAUGCGCAGUGUAGCGGUGAAAUGCUUAGAUAUUGCGCAGAACGCCGAUUGCGAAGGAAGCAUACCGGCGGCGAUCUGACGCGGAGGCACGAAAGUGUGGGUAUCGAACAGGAUUAGAUACCCCAGUAGUC
This 459-nucleotide ribosomal RNA is filed under the name uncultured bacterium. RNAcentral describes it as "partial 16S ribosomal RNA". It matches the Rfam family "Bacterial small subunit ribosomal RNA", at positions 338 to 795 of the family's 1533-position model. The record is from RNAcentral.